This 394-nucleotide ribosomal RNA is filed under the name uncultured bacterium. RNAcentral describes it as "bacterial SSU rRNA". It matches the Rfam family "Bacterial small subunit ribosomal RNA", at positions 774 to 1158 of the family's 1533-position model. The record is from RNAcentral.
AGUAAAUAGAUACCCUGGUAGUCUACGCCGUAAACGAUGCGCACUAGGUUCGAGAGCCUCUGACGGUGCUCGAGCCGAAAAACAAAAGCGAUAAGUGCGCCGCCUGGGGAGUACGGCCGCAAGGCUAAAACUCAAAGGAAUUGACGGGGGCUCACACAAGCGGUGGAGCAUGUGAAUCAAUUCGAAGCAACGCGAAGAACCUUACCUGGGUUUGACAUGCACGGAUGGUCUCGAGGAAACUUGAGUAAUCUGCCUUCGGUGAAACGUGCACAGGUGCUGCAUGGCUGUCGUCAGCUCGUGCUGUGAAGUGUCGGGUUAAGUCCCUUAACGAGCGAAACCCUUAUCGCUAGUUGCCAGCGGGUCAUGCCGGGAACUCUAGUGAGACUGCCGGCGU